Molecule: ribosomal RNA, 200 nt
Filed under: uncultured prokaryote
Description: partial 16S ribosomal RNA
Rfam family: Bacterial small subunit ribosomal RNA
Source: RNAcentral
GACGUCAAAUCAUCAUGCCCUAUAUGUCCUGGGCUACACACGUACUACAAUGGCUAAAACAGAGGGAAGCAAAGGAGCAAUCCGGAGCCAAACCCAAAAAUAGUCUCAGUUCGGAUUGCGGGCUGAAACCCGCCCGCAUGAAGUCGGAAUUGCUAGUAAUGGCAGGUCAGCAUACUGCCGUGAAUACGUUCCCGGGCCUU